This 253-nucleotide ribosomal RNA is filed under the name uncultured bacterium. RNAcentral's name for it is "partial 16S ribosomal RNA". It matches the Rfam family "Bacterial small subunit ribosomal RNA", at positions 524 to 776 of the family's 1533-position model. The record is from RNAcentral.
UACGGAGGGUGCAAGCGUUAUCCGGAAUCAUUGGGUUUAAAGGGUCCGCAGGCGGGAAGAUAAGUCAGUGGUGAAAUCUCACAGCUCAACUGUGAAACUGCCAUUGAUACUGUCUUUCUUGAAUUCGAUCGAAGUGGGCGGAAUGUGACAUGUAGCGGUGAAAUGCAUAGAUAUGACAUAGAACACCAAUUGCGAAGGCAGCUGGCUACACAAAUAUUGACGCUGAGGCACGAAAGCGUGGGGAUCAAACAGG